Molecule: ribosomal RNA, 2894 nt
Filed under: Klebsiella pneumoniae
Lineage: Bacteria; Pseudomonadati; Pseudomonadota; Gammaproteobacteria; Enterobacterales; Enterobacteriaceae
Description: 23S ribosomal RNA
Rfam family: Bacterial large subunit ribosomal RNA
Source: RNAcentral
GGUUAAGCGACUAAGCGUACACGGUGGAUGCCCUGGCAGUCAGAGGCGAUGAAGGACGUGCUAAUCUGCGAAAAGCGUCGGUAAGGUGAUAUGAACCGUUAUAACCGGCGAUGUCCGAAUGGGGAAACCCAGUGCAAUUCGUUGCACUAUCGUUAACUGAAUACAUAGGUUAACGAGGCGAACCGGGGGAACUGAAACAUCUAAGUACCCCGAGGAAAAGAAAUCAACCGAGAUUCCCCCAGUAGCGGCGAGCGAACGGGGAGCAGCCCAGAGUCUGAAUCAGCUUGUGUGUUAGUGGAACGGUCUGGAAAGUCCGACGGUACAGGGUGAUAGUCCCGUACACCAAAAUGCACAGGCUGUGAACUCGAAGAGUAGGGCGGGACACGUGGUAUCCUGUCUGAAUAUGGGGACCAUCCUCCAAGGCUAAAUACUCCUGACUGACCGAUAGUGAACCAGUACCGUGAGGGAAAGGCGAAAAGAACCCCGGCGAGGGAGUGAAAAAGAACCUGAAACCGUGUACGUACAAGCAGUGGGAGCACCUUCGGGUGUGACUGCGUACUUUUGUAUAAUGGGUCAGCGACUUAUAUUCUGUAGCAAGGUUAACCGUAUAGGGAGCCGCAGGAAACCGAGUCUUAACUGGGCGUUAAGUUGCAGGGUAUAGACCCGAAACCCGGUGAUCUAGCCAUGGGCAGGUUGAAGGUUGGGUAACACUAACUGGAGGACCGAACCGACUAAUGUUGAAAAAUUAGCUGAUGACUUGUGGCACGGGGUGAAAGGCCAAUCAAACCGGGAGAUAGCUGGUUCUCCCCGAAAGCUAUUUAGGUAGCGCCUCGUGAAUUCAUCUUCGGGGGUAGAGCACUGUUUCGGCUAGGGGGUCAUCCCGACUUACCAACCCGAUGCAAACUACGAAUACCGAAGAAUGUUAUCACGGGAGACACACGGCGGGUGCUAACGUCCGUCGUGAAGAGGGAAACAACCCAGACCGCCAGCUAAGGUCCCAAAGUCAUGGUUAAGUGGGAAACGAUGGGAAGCCACAGACAGCCAGGAUGUUGGCUUAGAAGCAGCCAUCAUUUAAAGAAAGCGUAAUAGCUCACUGGUCGAGUCGGCCUGCGCGGAAGAUGUAACGGGGCUAAACCAUGCACCGAAGCUGCGGCAGCGACACUAUGUGUUGUUGGGUAGGGGAGCGUUCUGUAAGCCUGCGAAGGUGACCUGUGAGGGUUGCUGGAGGUAUCAGAAGUGCGAAUGCUGACAUAAGUAACGAUAAAGCGGGUGAAAAGCCCGCUCGCCGGAAGACCAAGGGUUCCUGUCCAACGUUAAUCGGGGCAGGGUGAGUCGACCCCUAAGGCGAGGCCGAAAGGCGUAGUCGAUGGGAAACAGGUUAAUAUUCCUGUACUUGGUGUUACUGCGAAGGGGGGACGGAGAAGGCUAUGUUAGCCGGGCGACGGUUGUCCCGGUUUAAGCAUGUAGGCUGGUUGUCCAGGCAAAUCCGGAUAAUCAAGGCUGAGGUGUGAUGACGAGGCACUACGGUGCUGAAGUAACAAAUGCCCUGCUUCCAGGAAAAGCCUCUAAGCAUCAGGUAACAUUAAAUCGUACCCCAAACCGACACAGGUGGUCAGGUAGAGAAUACCAAGGCGCUUGAGAGAACUCGGGUGAAGGAACUAGGCAAAAUGGUGCCGUAACUUCGGGAGAAGGCACGCUGGUGUGUAGGUGAAGUCCCUGCGGAUGGAGCUGAGACCAGUCGAAGAUACCAGCUGGCUGCAACUGUUUAUUAAAAACACAGCACUGUGCAAACACGAAAGUGGACGUAUACGGUGUGACGCCUGCCCGGUGCCGGAAGGUUAAUUGAUGGGGUUAUCCGUAAGGAGAAGCUCUUGAUCGAAGCCCCGGUAAACGGCGGCCGUAACUAUAACGGUCCUAAGGUAGCGAAAUUCCUUGUCGGGUAAGUUCCGACCUGCACGAAUGGCGUAAUGAUGGCCAGGCUGUCUCCACCCGAGACUCAGUGAAAUUGAACUCGCUGUGAAGAUGCAGUGUACCCGCGGCAAGACGGAAAGACCCCGUGAACCUUUACUAUAGCUUGACACUGAACAUUGAGCCUUGAUGUGUAGGAUAGGUGGGAGGCUUUGAAGCGUGGACGCCAGUCUGCGUGGAGCCAACCUUGAAAUACCACCCUUUAAUGUUUGAUGUUCUAACGUUGGCCCCUGACCGGGGUUGCGGACAGUGUCUGGUGGGUAGUUUGACUGGGGCGGUCUCCUCCCAAAGCGUAACGGAGGAGCACGAAGGUUAGCUAAUCCUGGUCGGACAUCAGGAGGUUAGUGCAAUGGCAUAAGCUAGCUUGACUGCGAGCGUGACGGCGCGAGCAGGUGCGAAAGCAGGUCAUAGUGAUCCGGUGGUUCUGAAUGGAAGGGCCAUCGCUCAACGGAUAAAAGGUACUCCGGGGAUAACAGGCUGAUACCGCCCAAGAGUUCAUAUCGACGGCGGUGUUUGGCACCUCGAUGUCGGCUCAUCACAUCCUGGGGCUGGAGUAGGUCCCAAGGGUAUGGCUGUUCGCCAUUUAAAGUGGUACGCGAGCUGGGUUUAGAACGUCGUGAGACAGUUCGGUCCCUAUCUGCCGUGGGCGCUGGAGAAUUGAGGGGGGCUGCUCCUAGUACGAGAGGACCGGAGUGGACGCAUCACUGGUGUUCGGGUUGUCAUGCCAAUGGCACUGCCCGGUAGCUAAAUGCGGAAGAGAUAAGUGCUGAAAGCAUCUAAGCACGAAACUUGCCCCGAGAUGAGUUCUCCCUGAGACUUUAAGUCUCCUGAAGGAACGUUGAAGACGACGACGUUGAUAGGCCGGGUGUGUAAGCGCAGCGAUGCGUUGAGCUAACCGGUACUAAUGAACCGUGAGGCUUAACCUU